RNAcentral lists this long non-coding RNA (221 nucleotides) under Brassica napus (rape). RNAcentral describes it as "long non-coding RNA (BNAP_LNC012461)". Lineage: Eukaryota; Viridiplantae; Streptophyta; Magnoliopsida; Brassicales; Brassicaceae. The record is from RNAcentral.
CGACUCAUCAUACCAGUCCGACUCGAUCCUAUGACACCUUUAACUCCAUGUUACCCGACCAUGAGCUAAAAACCCUACAAUGCACAUCCUUUUCAUCUUUUCGUCAUUUUCAACAGUGGGUAGCCCCAACUAGGCUUCUACCCCAUAUUCUUGUGGAUUGGCCACAUCUUCUGUGGGUGCUUCCAUAUUCUUGUGGAUUGGCCACAUCUCCUAUGGAUACC